CACGGCCGCCGGGUUCUAUCGUCUGCCGUGAGCGCGGAGCCGCCGUACCGGCGACUCCGCGCUCACGGCAUUCGAGCUCAGGCGUUGUAG
This 90-nucleotide microRNA precursor is filed under the name Skermanella aerolata. RNAcentral's name for it is "microRNA MIR1846". It matches the Rfam family "MIR1846 microRNA precursor family", at positions 1 to 86 of the family's 110-position model. The record is from RNAcentral. Lineage: Bacteria; Pseudomonadati; Pseudomonadota; Alphaproteobacteria; Rhodospirillales; Azospirillaceae.